This 253-nucleotide ribosomal RNA is filed under the name uncultured bacterium. RNAcentral's name for it is "partial 16S ribosomal RNA". It matches the Rfam family "Bacterial small subunit ribosomal RNA", at positions 524 to 776 of the family's 1533-position model. The record is from RNAcentral.
UACAGAGGGGGCGAGCGUUGUUCGGAAUUACUGGGCGUAAAGGGCGCGUAGGCGGCCUGUUAAGUCGAACGUGAAAUCCCCGGGCUCAACCCGGGAACUGCGUCCGAGACUGGCAGGCUCGAAUCCGGGAGAGGGAUGUGGAAUUCCAGGUGUAGCGGUGAAAUGCGUAGAUAUCUGGAGGAACAUCGGUGGCGAAGGCGGCAUCCUGGACCGGUAUUGACGCUGAGGCGCGAAAGCCAGGGGAGCAAACGGG